GGGUUGUGUUUCAUCGGUAGAACGCUUGCCUAGCACGUGAGAGGCUCUGGGUUCGAUCCUCAGCCCCA
This 68-nucleotide transfer RNA is filed under the name Marmota monax (woodchuck). Its description in RNAcentral is "tRNA.Ala". Lineage: Eukaryota; Metazoa; Chordata; Mammalia; Rodentia; Sciuridae. The record is from RNAcentral.